UGAUAAGGCACUAAUCAGUGAAUCGUACUUUUAACUGAAUAUAUUUGUAUCCCAUUUAUCGUUAGGUUAACUAGAGUCAUAUGUAAUAUAUCUGAGGCUACAUAGCAAUAUGCACUGUACUGAAUAUCUAAAUAUGAAUCCUAGGUUACAUAGUAACAAGGAAGAGUGCUAUCUUAAUAUUCUGAUGAUGUCUAGAUAUACGUAGAAGAGAAGCAGCAACAACAACAAUGACACAACAGUAGUUAAUCAGCCAAUAAUUUGUAAAAAAUUGAUAAACUCCCUCCGGCCCAUAAUCUUUUCUUUCCCUGAUAAUAAAGUACCUAUUGCUGCUGCCUGCUCACCGUCAUCACAAUUUUGCAAAAAAGUCCCUGAUGUUUUAGGUAUUCAACCCGCAGUCUUCUAUUAAGUCAAUCGAACCAGUACGGGUGAGAGAAAAGAAAAAAAAAUAUGCACGACGACCUUGCCUUCCCUCUUCACCUCCAGCGCAUCUCCACGCUGCAGCGCGCUGCCGCCCACCCGCCAUGCGCCACCGCAGCCGGCCCCGACACGCCACCGCGCACCGCCAACGCCCCUCCGCCAUGCACCUUCCCCACCCCUGCGUCUUUCCAUCACCAGCGACACUUGGUGUCGGCUCCGCACUUUCCCCCAAUCCCUCUCUCUCGCCACGACCCGACGUCGUCGUCCUCCACCACCAGCCCAGCCCCUGCGUGUUCCUCUUCUCCCCGAUGCUCUUCUUCACUUGGUCGGAGCACCUGCUCCUCCCAUCACGCACAGAUCGACGGAGCAGUUCAAUGGUCGUUGCCCAGGCUGCGUGUAGUUCAGUGCUGCUCUACCCCCUUCGACUCAACCACUAGCCCGCGAGGUGCACACCAUGUGUUUGCUGAAAAGACUCGGUGCACUGCAGGACCAUUUUUGCUUUGUUUCACGGUCAUUUGUAGAGAAGAGAUGGCUAUUGAUGAGGUUGAGCUUGAGCCUCUAGAAUUUGCAGAGAAAAUGCACACUCAACAGGAAUUACAACAACAGCAACUGGAGAUGUUAGUUCAAAUUUUAAAACAUUGUUCUGAGAGCCAAUCUGUCAUACUUGAGACUUUGCAGAGGCAGUUGGAGAGUGCUGAUUUGGAUACCAGUCUGUCAAUCUUCACUCCAGAGCAGAUCCAAGGGAUUGUUGAGAAAUACUCCAGUUGACAUAUUUGAAGAGUGGCACCUGUUGAAACCGUCCGCCUGGCUCCCGCGGCGAACAACGCCGCCACCCCACUGCCGAUUCCCACCCAAGCGGCUGUCCUCCUUGCGGUGGUGGUCUUCACCCUCUUUCAUCACCAUGAAGCAGAUCAUCGUUGUGCCGCUGUCCGACACUGGUGAGAAGGGUGACUCGCGUCAAGACAGCCAAGGUUGGGUGGUCUGCUGGCCAGGCUCAUUGGGAUGGUGACUGGCAAGAUGGAGAGGAAUACAGAUGUGUCCUUCACCCUCGACAAUGACACCGGCUGCAUCAACUUCAUCAGAUGCUAACAUAGAGUUGCGGUGAACAAAGAGGCACGAAAGAACCAAGAUGACCAUGUGGGCAGAGAUGAACUUGACGAUAACUGGAAAAUGGUGGGGAAAGGGGAUGGUGAUAGUGAUUAGACGGUCAAAACUUGCAUGCACUCAACACUCAUUGUGAUAAGUGGCCCAAAAUAGUUUUUGCGCGGGCUAUUUGUAAGUCAAGUGAAUUUUCUGGGGGUGCAAGUCGAUUUGGAAGGAAGCCGUGCGGAGCUCGAGGCCAAAGCCGGCAACGACGAGACAGAGCUAUGAUGGGGACAAGGCGAGGAAGUAGGUCUGGGUGCCGGAAAAAUGUACAUAUGUCAUUGGUAAAGAUCCACGCUUCGACCCUUUUUGCGUAUGGGGCAAUGAGAUAUUGAUGAACCAGCAUCAAGUGAGGAAGCUGAUAAAGAUUGUUAGUAAAAUGGGUCAAAAUAUGGCAAUUAAACUAUUUGUUUACACUUUAUCCAAGACAACAGCGAACUGUAUGAUGUGGUUCCCAAAGCAGUUUACUCCAGAUUACCUCUCAAAGUACAUGAUAGGUGGGCAUGCAAAGGUUAAAGUAUUUCUACCAGACCACGAUGAUUAUCUAGAUGUUUUGAUGAAGAUAGUGAAGGAUGGGCGGUCGGCCAUCACAAGGGGGUUGGACUAGAGUCGUGCGUGCCUCUGCAUGGAGGAGGGGACAAUAUGGCCAUUCCACUUCACCUUGCUCAGCAACUAGAAUGUAUUUCGCCUAUUUCUUUACCGUCUUUAAUAGUACAAGUAUACAACUGUAGUUCAUCAUUCUUUAUUUGGUGCUUAUGUAAUUCUUGAACAUAUGUACCUGUGAAUCGAAUAAUGCAUUAGUUGUUUGAACCUGA
Non-coding RNA from Aegilops tauschii subsp. strangulata, 2375 nucleotides. The record is from RefSeq and is a predicted model, not a curated record. Lineage: Eukaryota; Viridiplantae; Streptophyta; Magnoliopsida; Poales; Poaceae.